AUCUAUGGCCAUACCACCCUGAAUGCACCUGAUCUCGUUUGAUCUCCAAAGCUAAGCAGGGUCAGAUCUGGUUAGUAUUUGGAUGGGAGAAAAGGAGAGGCACAGAUC
This 108-nucleotide ribosomal RNA is filed under the name Prolemur simus (greater bamboo lemur). The record is from RNAcentral. Lineage: Eukaryota; Metazoa; Chordata; Mammalia; Primates; Lemuridae.